UCGAUGAGUAGGGCGGGACACGUGGUAUCCUGUCUGAAUAUGGGGGGACCAUCCUCCAAGGCUAAAUACUCCUGACUGACCGAUAGUGAACCAGUACCGUGAGGGAAAGGCGAAAAGAACCCCGGCGAGGGGAGUGAAAAAGAACCUGAAACCGUGUACGUACAAGCAGUGGGAGCCUCUUAAUGGGGUGACUGCGUACCUUUUGUAUAAUGGGUCAGCGACUUAUAUUCUGUAGCAAGGUUAACCGAAUAGGGGAGCCGAAGGGAAACCGAGUCUUAACUGGGCGUUAAGUUGCAGGGUAUAGACCCGAAACCCGGUGAUCUAGCCAUGGGCAGGUUGAAGGUUGGGUAACACUAACUGGAGGACCGAACCGACUAAUGUUGAAAAAUUAGCGGAUGACUUGUGGCUGGGGGUGAAAGGCCAAUCAAACCGGGAGAUAGCUGGUUCUCCCCGAAAGCUAUUUAGGUAGCGCCUCGUGAAUUCAUCUCCGGGGGUAGAGCACUGUUUCGGCAAGGGGGUCAUCCCGACUUACCAACCCGAUGCAAACUGCGAAUACCGGAGAAUGUUAUCACGGGAGACACACGGCGGGUGCUAACGUCCGUCGUGAAGAGGGAAACAACCCAGACCGCCAGCUAAGGUCCCAAAGUCAUGGUUAAGUGGGAAACGAUGUGGGAAGGCCCAGACAGCCAGGAUGUUGGCUUAGAAGCAGCCAUCAUUUAAAGAAAGCGUAAUAGCUCACUGGUCGAGUCGGCCUGCGCGGAAGAUGUAACGGGGCUAAACCAUGCACCGAAGCUGCGGCAGCGACACUAUGUGUUGUUGGGUAGGGGAGCG
This 831-nucleotide ribosomal RNA is filed under the name Escherichia coli. RNAcentral's name for it is "partial 23S ribosomal RNA". It matches the Rfam family "Bacterial large subunit ribosomal RNA", at positions 405 to 1238 of the family's 2925-position model. The record is from RNAcentral. Lineage: Bacteria; Pseudomonadati; Pseudomonadota; Gammaproteobacteria; Enterobacterales; Enterobacteriaceae.